RNAcentral lists this ribosomal RNA (465 nucleotides) under uncultured bacterium. RNAcentral's name for it is "bacterial SSU rRNA". It matches the Rfam family "Bacterial small subunit ribosomal RNA", at positions 32 to 507 of the family's 1533-position model. The record is from RNAcentral.
AAUCAACGCUGGCGGCGUGCCUCAGACAUGCAAGUCGAACGAUUAAAGCUCUCUUCGGAGAGUGUAUAGAGUGGCGCACGGGUGAGUAACACGUAAGUAAUCUACCCUCGAGUGGGGAAUAACAACCGGAAACGGUUGCUAAUACCGCAUAAUGCAGCGGCACCGCAAGGUGACAGUUGUUAAAGAUUUAUCGCUUGAGGAGGAGCUUGCGGCAGAUUAGCUAGUUGGCAGGGUAACGGCUUACCAAGGCUACGAUCUGUAACCGGUCUAAGAGGACGGUCGGUCACACUGACACUGAAUAACGGGUCAGACUCCUACGGGAGGCAGCAGUCGGGAAUUUUGGGCAAUGGGCGAAAGCCUGACCCAGCAACGCCGCGUGAAGGAUGAAGUAUUUCGGUAUGUAAACUUCGAAAGAAUAGGAAGAAUUAAUGACGGUACUAUUUAUAAGGUCCGGCUAACUACGUG